This 414-nucleotide ribosomal RNA is filed under the name uncultured bacterium. RNAcentral's name for it is "partial 16S ribosomal RNA". It matches the Rfam family "Bacterial small subunit ribosomal RNA", at positions 355 to 759 of the family's 1533-position model. The record is from RNAcentral.
UGGGGAAUAUUGCACAAUGGGCGCAAGCCUGAUGCAGCCAUGCCGCGUGUGUGAAGAAGGCCUUCGGGUUGUAAAGCACUUUCAGCGAGGAGGAAGGGUUCAGUGUUAAUAGCACUGUUCAUUGACGUUACUCGCAGAAGAAGCACCGGCUAACUCCGUGCCAGCAGCCGCGGUAAUACGGAGGGUGCAAGCGUUAAUCGGAAUUACUGGGCGUAAAGCGCACGCAGGCGGUUUGUUAAGUCAGAUGUGAAAUCCCCGCGCUUAACGUGGGAACUGCAUUUGAAACUGGCAAGCUAGAGUCUUGUAGAGGGGGGUAGAAUUCCCAGGUGUAGCGGUGAAAUGCGUAGAGAUCUGGAGGAAUACCGGUGGCGAAGGCGGCCCCCCUGGACAAAGACUGACGCUCAGGUGCGAAAG